This 707-nucleotide ribosomal RNA is filed under the name uncultured bacterium. Its description in RNAcentral is "bacterial SSU rRNA". It matches the Rfam family "Bacterial small subunit ribosomal RNA", at positions 33 to 748 of the family's 1533-position model. The record is from RNAcentral.
ACGCUAGCGGCAGGCUUAAUACAUGCAAGUCGAGGGCUCAGCAAUGGGACCGGCGCACGGGUGCGUAACACGUAUGCAACCUGCCUGUAUCUGGGGGAUAGCCCGAGGAAACUCGGAUUAAUACCGCAUACUACUAUGAGACGGCAUCGUUUUGUGGUAAAAGAUUUAUCGGAUACAGAUGGGCAUGCGCAGGAUUAGCUAGUUGGUGUGGUAACGGCACACCAAGGCGACGAUCCUUAGGGGCUCUGAGAGGAGUAACCCCCACACUGGCACUGAGAUACGGGCCGGACUCCUACGGGAGGCAGCAGUAGGGAAUAUUGGGCAAUGGAGGCAACUCUGACCCAGCCAUGCCGCGUGCAGGAAGACGGCCCUCUGGGUUGUAAACUGCUUUUAAGUAGGAGGAAAGUGCAGCUUGCGAGCUGUUUUGACGUUACUACUAGAAUAAGCCACGGCUAACUACGUGCCAGCAGCCGCGGUAAUACGUAGGUGGCGAGCGUUAUCCGGAUUUAUUGGGUUUAAAGGGUGCGUAGGCGGCUUAAUAAGUCAGUGGUUAAAGGUAGCAGCUUAACUGUUUUACAUGCCAUUGAUACUGUUUAGCUUGAGUUAUCAGAAGGUAGAUGGAAUUCCUGGUGUAGCCGGUGAAAAUGCUUAGAUCCAGGAGGAACACCAAUUUGCGAAGGCAUUCUACUGCAGAUAAACUGACGCUC